GCCCUCGUGGUGCAAUGGAUAGCACGCAAGAUUCCGGUUCUUGAAAUUCGGGUUCGAGUCCUGACGAGGGCGCUA
Molecule: transfer RNA, 75 nt
Filed under: Neobacillus notoginsengisoli
Lineage: Bacteria; Bacillati; Bacillota; Bacilli; Caryophanales; Bacillaceae
Description: Bacillus notoginsengisoli tRNA-Arg
Rfam family: tRNA
About the family: Transfer RNA (tRNA) molecules are approximately 80 nucleotides in length.
Source: RNAcentral